This 507-nucleotide ribosomal RNA is filed under the name Intrasporangium calvum. Its description in RNAcentral is "bacterial SSU rRNA". It matches the Rfam family "Bacterial small subunit ribosomal RNA", at positions 216 to 735 of the family's 1533-position model. The record is from RNAcentral. Lineage: Bacteria; Bacillati; Actinomycetota; Actinomycetes; Micrococcales; Intrasporangiaceae.
CGGUCUGGGAUGGGCUCGCGGCCUAUCAGCUUGUUGGUGAGGUAGUGGCUCACCAAGGCGACGACGGGUAGCCGGCCUGAGAGGGCGACCGGCCACACUGGGACUGAGACACGGCCCAGACUCCUACGAGAGACAGCAGUGGGGAAUAUUGCACAAUGGGCGAAAGCCUGAUGCAGCGACGCCGCGUGAGGGAUGACGGCCUUCGGGUUGUAAACCUCUUUCAGCAGGGAAGAAGCGAAAGUGACGGUACCUGCAGAAGAAGCACCGGCUAACUACGUGCCAGCAGCCGCGGUAAUACGUAGGGUGCGAGCGUUGUCCGGAAUUAUUGGGCGUAAAGAGCUUGUAGGCGGUUUGUCGCGUCUGCUGUGAAAAUCCGGGGCUCAACCCCGGACUUGCAGUGGGUACGGGCAGGCUAGAGUGUGGUAGGGGAGACUGGAAUUCCUGGUGUAGCGGUGGAAUGCGCAGAUAUCAGGAGGAACACCGAUGGCGAAGGCAGGUCUCUGGGCC